UCGCAAGCCAUUGCCGAGUCUUCAGGACUUCUCACAUUUAUUAAUCUUGACUAUUUAGUACAUAUGUUAAUACUUUUAUGAGCCAUACGGCUCAUGAGAGUGUUAACAUGUAAAUGCUUAGCAUGUUUGUUAAAAUGAUUUUAUUUUUACAGGGGCCAUGCGGCGGCGACCGCUGAAUCACCGAGUCGUCUUGUAUAAGUAUAUUUUGUAUCUCUUGUUUUUUUUUUUGUCUAAAACAUAAAUAACUGAACUAGACACUGUUUUAGUCCAGCUACUUAUGUACGUUUUAUCAAUGUGUAGAUUAUUUAAAAUUUUAAUAUUAAUUUUCUUUUUUUUUUCUGUGACAAAAAACAUAAAUAAUUGGACUAGACACGCUUAGUCCAAGUAUGUACGUUUUUUUUAAUCACUGGAGGAGGGUGGGUUUGGUGGGACGCCACGUCAGGAAACCUCCUCGAGAGCCUAGGCACUCCCAAUUCCUCUUGAUUCUAUUGAUCAGCAGGAAACGGAAGGGUCUGGGCCGGUGCGCCCUGGGGGUAACGGUAAAUAAUUUCUUGAUGUGAAAAAAGAGGAUUGUUUACUGGUGCUGCUAAUGUCCUGAUACAGGGGUUUGCAUGUUGCCUUAUAUUUAGGUUACAGGUUGCCUUCAUCCACUUUGAGUAUCAAACAGCAAGUCCUCGUGAACAAUCUGGCUGCCAUAAUUGACAAAAGGCAACAAAGAUGUGGAAGUAAAUUGAAUUUUAUUACUUACAUACCUACUUAUUUGCUAUUUUACAUCGUGAGGAAACCUGACCCAAAUGAAAAGUUUUGCCAUAAUUUUCUUCUCUCCUCAGGUGUAUUGACUACAGGAGAGUCUACAAUCAAUAUCCUGUGUGACAUGAUGAUCGGUGCGCCUGCACUGUCGCCACAGCAUUACCGACCGGCGACCAGCCUUCGCGCGCCUGCACGGCCUAAGUCAUCGCCAAGUGUGGCCCUCGUCGUGUGUGCCUUUCACGCCAAUAGAUUAGGCCUCCAGCACCAGUCCAUGAACCAGCGCUGCCACCUGCGUUUGCGCUCCGUCCCUCGCACCUUCAGGGCAUGCUCUCUACAACACUGCCAGCGCCCUCCGUGUCUCCACUGGAGCUCUGUAACGGCGUUCCUCAAAAACGGCAACUGGUGUUAGAUCUCCAAUUGACAUGAUGGACCUAUGAUAAUAUUUUUACUUUACGCAGACGACCUGAAGCUCAUACGUUGCAUAAAUAACUCCAUGGACUGUGACCUAUUACUGCAAGUUAUUGAUGCUUUGCUCUGCUGGAGUAAGAAGAACAAAUUACUCUUUAAUUCUCUUUAAUCUAUCUAAGUGCAGCGUAAUGACCUUUAGCCGUGCUCAGUCUCCAUCCCCCCCCCCGACUCACGUGUUUGUGUAUGUAUGUAUGUUCGGGAUAAACUCAAAAACCACCGAAUGGAUUUUCAUGCGGUUUUUAUUAUCAAUAGAGUGAUUGUUGAGGAAGUUUUUAGGUGUAUAAUUUGUUUAGGUUUCGUGUAACCCGUGCGAAGCCGGGGCGGGUCGCUAGUUCUUAAUAAUUUUAAAUUAUAAAACUUGUUUUUAUGAGUAUUUCCUAUAACAUAGCUUUUAAUUUUGUUUUUAAUUUGGCAGAUGAUUGUAUAAGUAACUAAAUACUAAAAUGUUAUUUUGUUUCAUUUAAUAAGUAGGUGAUAUGUGUUUAUUUUAGCUAUUUACAAAAACUUAGCUGCCUCUAUGUAAUCGAAGUUACGCUCUCAUUUUGUAAAGAGUAUUGACAUGCUGAACACUGAAGUGAACAGCUAUAACCGACAAGAAAUUGUAGAAAUUAAAAAGUGGCAACAUCGUAGUGUCGUCCCGUUUUCUUAGAUUGAUUUGAAAGGGACGGUCUAUAAAUAACUAUGUCUAGAAUUGGCCAAGAAAAGCUAUUUUGAUAGCAUACGCAAUGCAAGUGUUGGUAUAGCGGCACUUGAUGGUAUAGCGGCCCCUAAAUUGCCAAUUACAUCCACACUUCCCGAUAUCGGGCCUGAUAAUUGUUUUCAGUUUCACGGAAUAUCAGCACAUUAUGUGAAAUGUAGAAAAUACUUUAUCUCUAAUUGUUCAAUGUUUGAUAUUUUUUCAUAUGAUUAUUUGAUGAAACUGAAAAAUAUUCUUUCUCGGGCCCGAAAUCGGGUCCGAUGUCAGCAGAUGUGGCUAUGACCGCGAAAAACGAAGUUAGUCAAUUACGGGCAUUUUUCUGUGUCACUAAUUACGUCUUAGCGAGAGUAAAAGAGAAAGAUCCUCGCGAAUUUCGGUUUUCGCGGUAGGCGCCUAGGCCUAUAAACUGUGGAUGAAAUUGGCACUUAAGUUCACAUGUUUAAAAGUUGGUUCGUUGCCUAAAUCAUGCAAAUACCUAGUGAGUGAAUUGUAAAAAAAAUUGUGACAAGGUAAUAAAAUACGUACAGUGGAUUAGAACUUUUAUUGAAAACUUUUCCUAUGUGAAGAAGAGAAAUACAAUUUUAUUGAAAUUCAAUUUGACAUUACAGCUAACGGGCGCCAAUGCGCUGUAAAAUUAAGUAGUAAUAGAGCUAUAAGCUAGGUAAUAAAAAUACAUAUAUAAUAAAUAUGACAAUAAUUAAAAAGCUGAUUCACAAUAACGUAAAAAAUCUUUAAAAAGUUUAUGAUUUUUGUCAGCAAACAAGUCGCAGUCAGGUGCAAAAAAUAAAAAAUUGUUAAGGAGUGUCUCUUAAUAUUCGUCGAGAAGAGUCGAUUGAUAGACAUUAAAAUUAGUUGUACAUAUAAUAAGUACAAGGGCGUCGAGAAUAAAAUGUAGAAGGCUGACCGCAGAGGCACGGAAUUUUCAUUCAGUUUCCGUAGAAUAAAUGUGAACGGGACGUCGCGGUCUCGCUUGCACAUGUCAUCCGUUGGGAAAAUUACGUGCGUCUGUGGCCGGGGUUAUGCCCCAUAAAUUUAAAAACAUCCUCCAAACGCGAAUACUAGUGUCACAAAUAGGUAUUCUCGCUUCCGCACAUCCAUUUUAUCAAUAUCUUUGGUCAUAAUCUGUGGACCACUUCCACACCACCAGGGCUAUGCCUAAACGCAAAAAUCUAUGUUCGCAAAUUGCAGGCAUCUUCCUCUGUCAUUCUAAUAAAAUAAAUAAUUCAAAUCAGUUUAUUUAUUGCAAUAAAAUUAAAUAAAACUAACUAAAUUAAAUAAUACUAUUAUGAAAUGAAAACUAGUUAAACCUAAAAAUAACAAAGGAAAAAUAAAAAUAUAAUAAAAUUACGUCUCAUUGAUCGGGCAAUUUAAUCAGAUUGACGAAAACUUGUUCCUGUCUGGACUGAUCAUACCAUUAUCUGCUUAUUUUUUGCGCAUGGCAACAUUAUUGAAUCGUAAACUUAAAAAUCGUCGCCCCAUCCCUAGAAUAUCACUCUAUGUGUCAAAUAUUUAUAAUCUGUGGUUUGUAGCGAAAAGUGGACGCCAAUUAUUGGGCUGUACAUUCUUGGGUUGAGCAAUCCCGGGUCGAGCAUUAUCGGUACGGGCCAAUAAUGUGCGACCAAUAUUCGGCGUCCACUAAAUGGAUUCGCAUUAUAGGGUCGUGUAUUAUUGGGUUGAGCGUUAUCAGGCUGUACAAGCUCGGUCCGGGCCAAUAAUACGAAGCCACUGUUUGUACAGGGCAAUAAUGUACAGCCCAAUAAUUGGCGUCCACUUUUCGCUACAAACCACAGAUUAUAAAUAUUUGACACAUAGAGUGAUAUUCUAGGGAUGGGGCGACGAUUUUUAAGUUUACGAUUCAAUAAUGUUGCCAUGCGCAAAAAAUAAGCAGAUAAUGGUAAAAUCAGCCCAGACGGGAACAAGUUUUCGUCAAUCUAAUUAAAUUUUCCGA
Long non-coding RNA from Cydia pomonella (codling moth), 3863 nucleotides. RefSeq lists it as uncharacterized. The record is from RefSeq and is a predicted model, not a curated record. The transcript is spliced from 2 exons. Lineage: Eukaryota; Metazoa; Arthropoda; Insecta; Lepidoptera; Tortricidae.